Long non-coding RNA from Gymnodraco acuticeps, 466 nucleotides. RefSeq lists it as uncharacterized. The record is from RefSeq and is a predicted model, not a curated record. Lineage: Eukaryota; Metazoa; Chordata; Actinopteri; Perciformes; Bathydraconidae. The transcript has 2 exons.
GCCUUCUUUCUGUGAAUUCUGAGAUUUAGCGUGUGUCUUUGGUAUUAGCUCCACUGAUUAGCAGUGUCUAUAGUAGGGUUCUAGGCGAGCACACUGAGUAGCAGUGUGUCGUCGGGUUCUGUGUUAGCGUAGGGAUUUUGUGUGUGUGUAUACUGCUUAGAUCCAGGUUGAUUAGCACCUGUAGACCAGCGUUCCUGUGAGUGGAUAUUGCGUAGAGCCAGGUGAUUAGCACCUGUAGACCCGCACCAGCUGUGUGUUUCCACAGUCCCGUUUUGUUUAUUGCUCGUUUCCACUUGAGUAGUGAGAUUUGUUUUUCUUUCUAUAGCGGGGUAACUCUCUUUUGGAGACCCUUUGUGUUGUAUUAUAGUGACAGAUUGACCCGUGUUGUGGGGCCAAUCUGUGUGACCAUCAUUUUGCCUAGUUUCAGUGACAAUAAAACCACCGGUAACAAAUAUACCAAAUCCAA